GAGUUGCUAGUAAUCGCAGAUCAGAAUGCUGCGGUGAAUGCGUUCCCGGGUCUUGUACACACCGCCCGUCACACCAUGGAAGUUGGGGGCGCCCGAAGUCGGCCAGGAAAUAGGCUGCCUAAGGUGAAACCAAUGACUGGGGUGAAGUCGUAACAAGGUAAC
RNAcentral lists this ribosomal RNA (162 nucleotides) under uncultured bacterium. RNAcentral describes it as "partial 16S ribosomal RNA". It matches the Rfam family "Bacterial small subunit ribosomal RNA", at positions 1329 to 1500 of the family's 1533-position model. The record is from RNAcentral.